GACGAGCGCUGGCGGCGUGCUUAACACAUGCAAGUCGAACGGAAAGGCCCUGCUUUUGUGGGGUGCUCGAGUGGCGAACGGGUGAGUAACACGUGAGUAACCUGCCCUUGACUUUGGGAUAACUUCAGGAAACUGGGGCUAAUACCGGAUAGGAGCUCCUGCUGCAUGGUGGGGGUUGGAAAGUUUCGGCGGUUGGGGAUGGACUCGCGGCUUAUCAGCUUGUUGGUGGGGUAGUGGCUUACCAAGGCUUUGACGGGUAGCCGGCCUGAGAGGGUGACCGGCCACAUUGGGACUGAGAUACGGCCCAGACUCCUACGGGAGGCAGCAGUGGGGAAUAUUGCACAAUGGGCGGAAGCCUGAUGCAGCAACGCCGCGUGCGGGAUGACGGCCUUCGGGUUGUAAACCGCUUUCGCCUGUGACGAAGCGUGAGUGACGGUAAUGGGUAAAGAAGCACCGGCUAACUAUGUG
This 468-nucleotide ribosomal RNA is filed under the name uncultured bacterium. RNAcentral describes it as "partial 16S ribosomal RNA". It matches the Rfam family "Bacterial small subunit ribosomal RNA", at positions 28 to 507 of the family's 1533-position model. The record is from RNAcentral.